This 871-nucleotide ribosomal RNA is filed under the name Enterococcus faecalis. Its description in RNAcentral is "bacterial SSU rRNA". It matches the Rfam family "Bacterial small subunit ribosomal RNA", at positions 56 to 897 of the family's 1533-position model. The record is from RNAcentral. Lineage: Bacteria; Bacillati; Bacillota; Bacilli; Lactobacillales; Enterococcaceae.
UGCAGUCGAACGCUUCUUUCCUCCCGAGUGCUUGCACUCAAUUGGAAAGAGGAGUGGCGGACGGGUGAGUAACACGUGGGUAACCUACCCAUCAGAGGGGGAUAACACUUGGAAACAGGUGCUAAUACCGCAUAACAGUUUAUGCCGCAUGGCAUAAGAGUGAAAGGCGCUUUCGGGUGUCGCUGAUGGAUGGACCCGCGGUGCAUUAGCUAGUUGGUGAGGUAACGGCUCACCAAGGCCACGAUGCAUAGCCGACCUGAGAGGGUGAUCGGCCACACUGGGACUGAGACACGGCCCAGACUCCUACGGGAGGCAGCAGUAGGGAAUCUUCGGCAAUGGACGAAAGUCUGACCGAGCAACGCCGCGUGAGUGAAGAAGGUUUUCGGAUCGUAAAACUCUGUUGUUAGAGAAGAACAAGGACGUUAGUAACUGAACGUCCCCUGACGGUAUCUAACCAGAAAGCCACGGCUAACUACGUGCCAGCAGCCGCGGUAAUACGUAGGUGGCAAGCGUUGUCCGGAUUUAUUGGGCGUAAAGCGAGCGCAGGCGGUUUCUUAAGUCUGAUGUGAAAGCCCCCGGCUCAACCGGGGAGGGUCAUUGGAAACUGGGAGACUUGAGUACAGAAGAGGAGAGUGGAAUUCCAUGUGUAGCGGUGAAAUGCGUAGAUAUAUGGAGGAACACCAGUGGCGAAGGCGGCUCUCUGGUCUGUAACUGACGCUGAGGCUCGAAAGCGUGGGGAGCAAACAGGAUUAGAUACCCCUGGUAGUCCACGCCGUAAACGAUGAGUGCUAAGUGUUGGGAGGGUUUCCGCCCCUUCAGUGCUGCAGCAAACGCAUUAAGCACUCCGCCUGGGGAGUACGACCGCAAGUGA